RNAcentral lists this microRNA precursor (86 nucleotides) under Zea mays. RNAcentral's name for it is "mir-156 microRNA precursor family". It matches the Rfam family "mir-156 microRNA precursor family". From Rfam's summary of the family: This family represents the plant microRNA (miRNA) precursor mir-156. Animal miRNAs are transcribed as ~70nt precursors and subsequently processed by the Dicer enzyme to give a ~22nt product. The record is from Rfam by way of RNAcentral. Lineage: Eukaryota; Viridiplantae; Streptophyta; Magnoliopsida; Poales; Poaceae.
UUGACAGAAGAGAGUGAGCACACACGGUGGUUUCUUACCAUGAGUGUCAUGCUAGGAGCUGUGCGUGCUCACCCUCUAUCUGUCAG